GGAAAAUUUAGGCCAUUUUAUUGAGAUCGGGCUAAUCAAACUUUACCCACACGAUACAUAAGCAAUCCCCCACAAACAAAUAACUUCCAAUUUUGAUUAACAUAAAGCAACACCCACAAAAUUUAACACAAGGCAAAAAUCAAACUUCAAAAAUAAUUGGCAUGCAAGCAUGCACUUUAGUCAAGACCCACUAUGAUUAAUCACGAACAAUGCAACAACAAACAAUUCCACUAAGACUAGUGAACAAGAAGUGACAAAAUUAACCCAAAAACUAACCUUUAUAUAUCA
This 288-nucleotide long non-coding RNA is filed under the name Solanum tuberosum (potato). Its description in RNAcentral is "long non-coding RNA (STUB_LNC006250)". Lineage: Eukaryota; Viridiplantae; Streptophyta; Magnoliopsida; Solanales; Solanaceae. The record is from RNAcentral.